UUACCGGGAAGUCAUUUCAUCAAUGUUUAACUAAUACUAUAGCUACCUUGAACCAUCUGGCAUCUUGUGGCUUAAAGUAUCAGUACAGAAGGCCCAGAUUUGCCAACAAGCAAAGGUUUCUUUAGUUCCUGCUUGAACUUGGCAAAAGGAAUCUUAUUGCAAACAGAAAAGAAAUCGUAAUUCAAACGAAAGUUCCCAAUACCAUGAAAUAGGAGGGUUCCUGGGAAUGGCGGGCUACAGCCACAUUUGGACUCCAAACUUUGGGCUCAUUGCUAAACCACGGUAUGAAGCUCUUAAAGGGCCAGAAUAUAGCCCUUCAGAAUGGGCAAAGAAAUGCACUCAGGCUUUUGGGUCCCUGAAGGUACACCUGGCUUCUGCAACUGCCUUCUACACCAGCCUUUGGGCUUCCAGAUCUACUAAAGCCCUUUUCAUUGUAUGUUCAGGAAAGGCAGGGUGUUGCCCUAGGAGUCCUCACCCAAAUGCUUAGUGACAUUCUGCAACCCAUCAUAUACUUGUCAGAGAAACUAAAUCACACUGUCCAGGGGUGGCCAGUCUGCUUGAGAGCUGUGGCAGCCACCUGAAAGCUUUUCAGGAAGCUGUAAAGUUUUUCUUGGGACAGCCUAUCACCAUUUAUGCACCCCACCAAGUGCUGAGCCUGCUAGAGCAAAAAGGAAAUUUGUGGCUCAUUGCUGGAAGAAUGGGCAGGUACCAAGCAAGUCCUCUCAACAAUCCUAAUGUCUCCCUGAAAACUGUAAGUUAAAUCCUGCCUCCCUUCUGGAGCUUGGCUCAGCUGUACUAAUGCAUGACUGUGCUGAAAUAAUUGUGUAUUCUAGCAAAAUUGAUUUACAGGACCAUCUUUUAGAAGAGGAAGACUGGGCUCUCUAUGCAAAGGAAACAGAAAGGCUGGAUAUGCAGUUGUGGCUCUUAAAGGACUAGUAGAGACCAAGACCUUACUGCUGGGAAUCUCUGCUCAUAAAUCUGAACUGAUUGCAUUGAUGAGGGCACUGGAAUUGUCACACAAAGAGAGAGUGAAUGUAUAUACUGACUUGAGAUUUGCUGCAUUCCUUUGAGCCUGGAGAUAAGGUGCUCCUUGAGACUUGGAAGACAGGAUGGAUCCCCAGAAAGCCAACAAGAAGGAAAGUGGACUGGACCUUGGGACAUACUCCUCACCACCUCCACCAUGGUGAAACUGGUAGGAAUAAAGCCUUGGAUUCAUCACACCAGAGUAAAGAGAGCUCCAGAACAAUGGACCACCAAAUCAUAAGUAACAUCUGAAAGUCAUUGUUAGAAAAUAAUGACAUACAUUAUUUUAUUUUUGUUCAACCCCCAUGUUAUGGAGAACUUACUCCUUUCAAACAAGAUGAAAAUAUUUGGGUAUAUUUAGCAAAAAAAGGUCUGAAUAUCUCUGACUUUUGUCUUGCAGGAGGAAGCUCCUGGCUGCCUAGUUUUAAUGACCUAGUAUUAAAUGCCUAGAGGCACUUGUUGUUUUCAUUCUUUUUAUCUUUUUCAGUAUCAUAGCUUGUUGUUAUACACAAUGUGUUCCCUUAUGUGGAUCUGCAAUUAAGUGUAUUCCUAAAGCCCUUAUGAGACUUUCUACUGCUAAGAUAUAUGCUCAACAGCAAAAUGAGUACUCCAUAUGAAACGAAUCUCACAGAAAUAAGAUAGUUUAGACUAACAGUGAGGAAUGAUGGGGGAACUCAAGAGUUCAAAAUUUUUAGCUGUAGUUAUAUAGUUCAUAGGCCUGGUCAAUGCAUGUAGAAAGCUAUUGUUCAGGAACUGGAAUGUUGUGGCCGAACCCACCCUGACUCCAGGAGACCAUAAGUAGUUCAACCUUUGUGCCCUGUGAGGACCACAGGCGAUCAAGAUGGAAUCUGAGCCAUUGUGUUUCAGGGAGGGAACAUCUGCUGACUAGGAGACAGAUGAAGAAUCACGGGAAAGAAAUAAAAGCCAUUGUCACCACAUUCCCCCCAAAAUGUGGAGCAACGCAACACUUCCCUGGACAAUCCUGCACAUGUUUAUUGAUGACAGCCAAGCUCACCCCUGAACACUAGAAGUGGGAAGAUGUCAAGAGAUAAAGAGGGAGGAUAAACAAGGAAUAAGGCAAUCUCAUAGACACAGAGGACGAUGUGUUGAUUAUCAGAUGGAAAUGGGAAUGGAAGGAGGUGGAGGAGGGUAAAGAGGGUACACGGUGGUGGAAGGAUACUUGACUUGGGUGAUGAACACACAAUACAGUGUACAGAUGAUGUGUUAUAGAACUGUAUUCCUGAAACCGAGGCAGGAGAUAGGAAGGUGGAAACUCCGGAGGUGCCCCAGGGCUAAGAAAGGACAUUGAUACAGGACAGAGACCCUGUUCUAAGACCAGUUGUUCCUGUUUUCUGGAAAAGCAAUGGAUCAUGGUGAGUCAUGAAUACACUUCCACAGAAGAUGCUG
Molecule: long non-coding RNA, 2430 nt
Organism: Phyllostomus discolor (pale spear-nosed bat)
Lineage: Eukaryota; Metazoa; Chordata; Mammalia; Chiroptera; Phyllostomidae
Exons: 3
Source: RefSeq, a predicted model, not a curated record